AUGAACUUUCCUUCGUUAACACUAGAGCAUGCCAUUACCGAACUUCCCCGAGCGAUGCCCCAUGCACAGAACCUGAAUCUGAGUGCAUGCAUGACAUUAAAGGUGAUUUACUUGCCAGAGGGUGUGACCAAGUUUUCUCAUGUGAAGUAUCUACAGCUGAGAUUGUAUUUCUCUGGUCAGGAAAAUCUCCUCUCCUUGGCUUCUUUUCUCAAAGCUGCCCCUCUACUAGAAGAGUUAGAUAUACAUUUUCUGCGCCGCUCCUUUCCGCUGAAUGACUUUGAGAAGUUACCUAUCAGGAGCCUUCCUCCGUGUCGCCAUGGUCAUCUAAAGAGGGUGCUCAUCACAGGGUUCCAUGGGGCCCGUGGUGAGAUUGAACUUGCAGCUCAUGUUGCAGAUAACUCCAGCAGGCUUCAGGCAUUGGUCAUAGAUCCAGUCAUGAGAGAUGUGGAUAGGAAUAUGUUUACUUCAACGCCGGAGGGAAGAGCUAUGUACUGGGAUCUUGCCCGUGAGAAUGCUAAGAAGUACCUUGCCAGGAGAGUCGCACAUGGUGCACGGUUUGAUGUUCUGUGA
Molecule: ribosomal RNA, 570 nt
Filed under: Triticum aestivum (bread wheat)
Lineage: Eukaryota; Viridiplantae; Streptophyta; Magnoliopsida; Poales; Poaceae
Description: partial small subunit ribosomal RNA
Source: RNAcentral